AUUGAACGCUGGCGGAAUGCUUUACACAUGCAAGUCGAACGAUGAACCUUAGCUUGCUAAGGGGAUUAGUGGCGAACGGGUGAGUAAUAUAUCGGAACGUGCCUUGUAAUGGGGGAUAACUAGUCGAAAGAUUAGCUAAUACCGCAUACGCCCUGAGGGGGAAAGUAGGGGAUCUUCGGACCUUACGUUAUAAGAGCGGCCGAUAUCUGAUUAGCUAGUUGGUGGGGUAAUGGCCUACCAAGGCGACGAUCAGUAGCUGGUCUGAGAGGACGACCAGCCACACUGGAACUGAGACACGGUCCAGACUCCUACGGGAGGCAGCAGCGGGGAAUUUUGGACAAUGGGCGCAAGCCUGAUCCAGCCAUUCCGCGUGAGUGAAGAAGGCCUUCGGGUUGUAAAGCUCUUUCGCAAGGGAAGAAAACUUACCAUCGAAUAAAUGGUGAGGCUGACGGUACCUUGAUAAGAAGCACCGGCUAACUACGUG
Molecule: ribosomal RNA, 484 nt
Filed under: uncultured bacterium
Lineage: Bacteria
Description: partial 16S ribosomal RNA
Rfam family: Bacterial small subunit ribosomal RNA
Source: RNAcentral